UACGGGGGGGGCUAGCGUUGUUCGGAAUUACUGGGCGUAAAGCGCUCGUAGGCGGCCAACUAAGUCGGACGUGAAAUCCCUCGGCUCAACCGAGGAAUUGCGUCCGAUACUGGAUGGCUCGAAUCCGGGAGAGGGAUGUGGAAUUCCAGGUGUAGCGGUGAAAUGCGUAGAUAUCUGGAGGAACACCGGUGGCGAAGGCGGCAUCCUGGACCGGUAUUGACGCUGAGGAGCGAAAGCCAGGGGAGCAAAC
This 250-nucleotide ribosomal RNA is filed under the name uncultured bacterium. RNAcentral's name for it is "partial 16S ribosomal RNA". It matches the Rfam family "Bacterial small subunit ribosomal RNA", at positions 524 to 773 of the family's 1533-position model. The record is from RNAcentral.